RNAcentral lists this ribosomal RNA (460 nucleotides) under uncultured bacterium. Its description in RNAcentral is "partial 16S ribosomal RNA". It matches the Rfam family "Bacterial small subunit ribosomal RNA", at positions 338 to 795 of the family's 1533-position model. The record is from RNAcentral.
CCUACGGGUGACAGCAGUGAGGAAUAUUGGUCAAUGGGCGCGAGCCUGAACCAGCAAAGUCGCGUGAGGGAUGACGGUCCUACGGAUUGUAAACCUCUUUUGCCGGGAAGCAAGCGUGCGUUCGUGAACGCGCGUAGAGAGUACCCGGAGAAAAAGCAUCGGCUAACUACGUGCCAGCAGCCGCGGUAAUACGGAGGAUGCGAGCGUUAUCCGGAUUUAUUUGGUUUAAAGGGUGCGUAGGCGGGAUGCCAAGUCAGCGGUAAAAAUGCGGUGCUCAACGCCGUCGAGCCGUUGAAACUGGCGUUGUUGAGUGGGCGAGAAGUAUGCGGAAUGCGUGGUGUAGCGGUGAAAUGCAUAGUUAUCACGCAGAACUCCGAUUGCGAAGGCAGCAUACCGGCGCCCUACUGACGCUGAGGCACGAAAGCGUGGGUAUCGAACAGGAUUAGAUACCCGAGUAGUC